ACACGGAAGGCGCAAGCGUUGUUCGGAAUCACUGGGCUUAAAGAGCGUGUAGGCGGAGUGGUAGGUGCCGUGUGAAAUCCCCCGGCUCAACCGGGGAAUGGCUAGGCAAACCCUCACUCUUGAGGCAGGUAGGGGCGACUGGAACGUUUGGUGGAGCGGUGAAAUGCGUAGAGAUCAAACGGAACGCCGGUGGCGAAAGCGAGUCGCUGGGCCUGUCCUGACGCUGAGACGCGAAAGCGUGGGUAGCAAACAGGAUUAGAAACCCGAGUAGUCC
RNAcentral lists this ribosomal RNA (274 nucleotides) under uncultured bacterium. Its description in RNAcentral is "partial 16S ribosomal RNA". It matches the Rfam family "Bacterial small subunit ribosomal RNA", at positions 523 to 796 of the family's 1533-position model. The record is from RNAcentral.